This 271-nucleotide ribosomal RNA is filed under the name uncultured bacterium. Its description in RNAcentral is "partial 16S ribosomal RNA". It matches the Rfam family "Bacterial small subunit ribosomal RNA", at positions 83 to 354 of the family's 1533-position model. The record is from RNAcentral.
CUAUGUCGGCGACCGGCGCACGGGUGCGUAACGCGUAUGCAACCUACCCAUUACAGGGGGAUAACACUGAGAAAUCGGUACUAAUACCCCAUAACAUCCAGGGAGGCAUCUUCUUUGGGUUGAAAACUCCGGUGGUAAUGGAUGGGCAUGCGUUGUAUUAGUUAGUUGGUGGGGUAACGGCUCACCAAGACAACGAUACAUAGGGGGACUGAGAGGUUAACCCCCCACAUUGGUACUGAGACACGGACCAAACUCCUACGGAAGGCAGCAG